RNAcentral lists this long non-coding RNA (327 nucleotides) under Capra hircus (goat). RNAcentral's name for it is "lncRNA (ENSCHIG00000005835.1)". The record is from RNAcentral. Lineage: Eukaryota; Metazoa; Chordata; Mammalia; Artiodactyla; Bovidae.
CGUCUCUUGAAGGAAGACGGUCUUCUGAUUGGUGCGAGGAGGGACACAUUUCUUCAUUGGUCGAAGUUUAAAGUGCUGGUUCUUAACUGCGUGGAAUCGGAAGGUGUCACAUUUGACCAGAUCUCACUGUCUCUGAACAACAUUGGUGAUGCCAUGGAAGAUAUCACUAUUACUAUCAUCAUUAUCAUCAUCUUGAUAAGCAUUUUUACAACAUUUUCAAUGUGGCUCUCAAUCGGGUUUUUGGAUAAAGCAAAUAACUCUUGUCUGAUAUAUUAUAGCCCAAAACAAUAACACUAGUUGAAAAUGGCAAUGUCUUUUAAAAGUAAC